Molecule: ribosomal RNA, 722 nt
Filed under: uncultured bacterium
Lineage: Bacteria
Description: bacterial SSU rRNA
Rfam family: Bacterial small subunit ribosomal RNA
Source: RNAcentral
GUGGGAACGUGCCCUUCGGUUCGGAAUAACUCAGGGAAACUUGAGCUAAUACCGGAUACGUGCGAGAGCAGAAAGAUUUAUCGCCGAAGGAUCGGCCCGCGUCCGAUUAGCUAGUUGGUGAGGUAACGGCUCACCAAGGCGACGAUCGGUAGCUGGUCUGAGAGGAUGAUCAGCCACAUUGGGACUGAGACACGGCCCAAACUCCUACGGGAGGCAUCAGCGGGGAAUAUUGGACAAUGGGCGCAAGCCUGAUCCAGCCAUGCCGCGUGAGUGAUGAAGGCCUUAGGGUUGUAAAGCUCUUUCGCCAGGGACGAUAAUGACGGUACCUGGAUAAGAAGCCCCGGCUAACUUCGUGCCAGCAGCCGCGGUAAUACGAAGGGGGCUAGCGUUGUUCGGAUUUACUGGGCGUAAAGCGCACGUAGGCGGAUUUUUAAGUCAGGGGUGAAAUCCCGAGGCUCAACCUCGGAACUGCCCUUGAUACUGGAAGUCUCGAGUCCGGGAGAGGUGAGUGGAACUGCGAGUGUAGAGGUGAAAUUCGUAGAUAUUCGCAAGAACACCAGUGGCGAAGGCGGCUCACUGGCCCGGUACUGACGCUGAGGUGCGAAAGCGUGGGGAGCAGACAGGAUUAGAUACCCUGGUAGUCCACGCCGUAAACGAUGGAUGCUAGCCGUUGGGGAGCUUGCUCUUCAGUGGCGCAGCUAACGCUUUAAGCAUCCCGCCUG